GUUGAAGAACGCAGCGAAAUGCGAUACUUGGUGUGAAUUGCAGAAUCCCGUGAACCAUCGAGUCUUUGAACGCAAGUUGCGCCCGAAGCCAUUAGGCCGAGGGCACGCCUGCCUGGGCGUCACACGUCGUUGCCCCCCCAUCUACUCCUUCGGGAUUGCGGGGGGCGGAUGAUGGCCUCCCGUGCGCCUCGUCGCGCGGUUGGCAUAAAUGCCAAGUCCUCGGCGACGCACGCCACGACAAUCGGUGGUUGCGAAACCUCGGUUGCCCGUCGUGUGCGGUCGUCGCGCAUCGAGGGCUCGAAAAAAUUGCCGGGCUCCGGCUCGGCUUUCAACGCGACCCCAGGUCAGGCGGGGUUACCCGCUGAAUUUAAGCAUAUCAAUAAGCGGAGGA
This 391-nucleotide unclassified non-coding RNA is filed under the name soil metagenome. RNAcentral describes it as "partial contains 5.8S ribosomal RNA, internal transcribed spacer 2, and large subunit ribosomal RNA". The stretch from base 1 to 122 matches the Rfam family "5.8S ribosomal RNA", at positions 35 to 154 of the family's 154-position model. The record is from RNAcentral.